UUGUUUUUUUCUUUUUCAAAAUCUUUAAUUUAGAUAUUUAAUUGAGUGAGAAUAGGGUAAUGUUUAUCUUCUCCAAAGAGUCAAAUUAUAUUGACAGAUUUUGGCCUAGAAUUGCCAUAUGGCAGUGUUUCUCUAUCUUGGUCCGGAGGGAACCCUGAUCUGGACCAGUGGGGCUUCCCCUUACCCAACACACCUGAUCCAACCUACCUACCUACCUACCUACCUACCUAGCCUAGCUUAGCCUAGUUUAGCCUAGCUAGUUAACUAGCUAACAGUUCAUGUGCUGUCAGCGUCUCCUACAACUGUACAGGUUCCUGUGUCUGUGAGGCUGGAUUGCAGUGGAAUAAAAAUGGACUGACAGUUAUUAAAUUCGUGAUUCACUACGCAGACAUGCACUGUGUGGCGGGAGAGAAGCAGAAAGGUGACGGUAUAUACAUUUUGCAGAGGGUUCAAGGAGGCAACAUCUAAUAUUGAGAAAUAUCUUGGACCAGCCUUGUGAGAAAAGAAUGUAGAUGGCUUUAAAAAUGCUGGACCAGACUAACCUACAGGACAACACUACAACCUGAGAGGAAAGGAGGAUUUCUGGGCUGGUGCAGAAGCCGAAGUGUGGUAGGAGCGAGACGUGCCAUGGGAGCUACUCUGGGUGCUGAGGACAGUGUUUGGAGGGAAAGGAUGU
This is a long non-coding RNA of Astyanax mexicanus (Mexican tetra), 676 nucleotides long. RefSeq lists it as uncharacterized. Lineage: Eukaryota; Metazoa; Chordata; Actinopteri; Characiformes; Acestrorhamphidae. The transcript has 3 exons. The record is from RefSeq and is a predicted model, not a curated record.